RNAcentral lists this ribosomal RNA (253 nucleotides) under uncultured bacterium. RNAcentral's name for it is "partial 16S ribosomal RNA". It matches the Rfam family "Bacterial small subunit ribosomal RNA", at positions 524 to 776 of the family's 1533-position model. The record is from RNAcentral.
UACGGGGGUGGCAAGCGUUGUUCGGAAUUACUGGGCGUAAAGGGCGCGUAGGCGGGGAGAUAAGUCGGGGGUGAAAUCCCUCGGCUCAACCGAGGAACUGCGCCCGAGACUGUCUUUCUUGAGUCCCGGAGAGGAAGGUGGAAUUCCCGGUGUAGCGGUGAAAUGUGUAGAGAUCGGGAGGAACACCGGUGGCGAAGGCGGCCUUCUGGACGGUGACUGACGCUGAGACGCGAAAGCGUGGGGAGCAAACAGG